GGGGCCGUAGCUCAGAGGGAGAGCACCUGCCUUGCAAGCAGGGGGUCAGCGGUUCGAAUCCGCUCGGCUCCACCA
This 75-nucleotide transfer RNA is filed under the name Oceanithermus desulfurans. RNAcentral describes it as "tRNA-Ala". It matches the Rfam family "tRNA". From Rfam's summary of the family: Transfer RNA (tRNA) molecules are approximately 80 nucleotides in length. Their secondary structure includes four short double-helical elements and three loops (D, anti-codon, and T loops). The record is from RNAcentral. RNAcentral also lists the same sequence under 5 other names. Lineage: Bacteria; Thermotogati; Deinococcota; Deinococci; Thermales; Thermaceae.